RNAcentral lists this ribosomal RNA (274 nucleotides) under uncultured bacterium. RNAcentral describes it as "partial 16S ribosomal RNA". It matches the Rfam family "Bacterial small subunit ribosomal RNA", at positions 523 to 796 of the family's 1533-position model. The record is from RNAcentral.
AUACGAAAGGUGCAAGCGUUGUUCGGAUUUACUGGGCGUAAAGAGAUCGUAGGUGGUUUAUUAAGUCGGAUGUGAAAUCCUGGGGCUCAACCCCGGAACUGCAUUCGAUACUGGUAGACUAGAGUUUGGGAGGGGUAAGCGGAAUUCCGUGUGUAGCAGUGAAAUGCGUAGAUAUACGGAGGAACACCUGAGGCGAAGGCGGCUUACUGGACCAAUACUGACACUGAGGAUCGAAAGCGUGGGUAGCAAACAGGAUUAGAUACCCUAGUAGUCC